Molecule: long non-coding RNA, 830 nt
Organism: Schistocerca nitens (vagrant locust)
Lineage: Eukaryota; Metazoa; Arthropoda; Insecta; Orthoptera; Acrididae
Exons: 3
Source: RefSeq, a predicted model, not a curated record
GUCUGCGGCUGGCCGCUAGACCGCACAGGUGGGAAGCGGGGACGCGGCCGGUGGCGGGCGGCCAAGUAGCCUCUCACGUUUCUCGCUUUUAAAUCCGAUCUCUGAGUCACCCGGCGCAACCUGCUUAUUUCCCCCUCGCGCCUUUAUUACGACGUGUGAACACCGGCAUACAUUGUGACAUCGAGCUGCGUCCAUUCCACGGCUAAUGAGUUAACAGCCCGUGUGCCGCCAGUAGAUUACAAGUUCACUGAGUGUGACUCUUAUUGUUCUUUCGAGCAAGUGAGUUCCUUAGUGCGGUGUGACAGUCAGGAUGUUACAACGACACGGAGGCACCUACGAUUCCGCCGUUUGUGACGUUACUCUUCGUCUGGAUAGCACCUAGCUGCACUCAUUCGAAACUACAGAACUCGGAAAGGUGGACAGCGCCCCCUCCAGCUCUCACCCACUGCAAACCAUCUGGUCAUGAGCUGCCGAGAGACUGACGCCACUACUCAGCAGGUGCCGGGCCGCAGUGUGUUGGCGAGAUUUUCCGGUCUAGCGGCUGCGGUUCGAGUCCCAGCGCCAGCCCCCUGCGGCUCGAGUUCUCCGGAGCAGGUGCGGGCGCAGCUGCCGCCGGCGCCGCGCAGGCCUGCCAACUGCAGCUGCGCCGUGAAGGCCGCGCGCCAGAUUCACACACUUGGCCGGCGUUCCUUGGCAGGAGGAGCCCUGGCCUUCCCCCGCAAUACAUCUCGCCCUUCCCACGAUAAACUGGGCAUUCAAUUCUUAACUUGUUCCACUCGCCGCUACCUUCUAAAACAGCAAUUAGCUCACACGUGACAUCGAGAAUAACU